UACGGGGGGUGCGAGCGUUGCCCGGAAUCACUGGGCGUAAAGGGCGCGUAGGUGGCGUGAUAAGGGUGUGGUGAAAGCCCGGGGCUCAACCCCGGGUCUGCCAUGCCGACUGUCAGGCUGGAGUACUGUAGGGGCAGGCGGAAUUCCGGGUGUAGCGGUGGAAUGCGUAGAGAUCCGGAGGAACACCAACGGCGAAGGCAGCCCGCUGGGACGGUACUGACGCUAAGGCGCGAAAGCGUGGGGAGCGAACAGG
Molecule: ribosomal RNA, 253 nt
Filed under: uncultured bacterium
Lineage: Bacteria
Description: partial 16S ribosomal RNA
Rfam family: Bacterial small subunit ribosomal RNA
Source: RNAcentral